AGAGGAGGAGCAGCAGGGUGAAACUGACAGUUAUGGUGAGUUUCACUUUGCUGCUCCUCCCGA
RNAcentral lists this microRNA precursor (63 nucleotides) under Erinaceus europaeus (western European hedgehog). RNAcentral describes it as "mir-761 microRNA precursor family". It matches the Rfam family "mir-761 microRNA precursor family". The record is from Rfam by way of RNAcentral. Lineage: Eukaryota; Metazoa; Chordata; Mammalia; Eulipotyphla; Erinaceidae.